CGAACGGGUGAGUAACGCGUGAGGAACCUGCCUCAAAGAGGGGGACAACAGUUGGAAACGACUGCUAAUACCGCAUAAGCCCACGACCUGGCAUCGGGUUGAGGGAAAAGGAGCAAUCCGCUUUGAGAUGGCCUCGCGUCCGAUUAGCUAGUUGGUGAGGUAACGGCCCACCAAGGCAACGAUCGGUAGCCGGACUGAGAAGUUGAACGGCCACAUUGGGACUGAGACACGGCCCAG
This 237-nucleotide ribosomal RNA is filed under the name uncultured bacterium. RNAcentral's name for it is "partial 16S ribosomal RNA". It matches the Rfam family "Bacterial small subunit ribosomal RNA", at positions 99 to 334 of the family's 1533-position model. The record is from RNAcentral.